GAGCGGAUGAAGGGAGCUUGCUCCUGGAUUCAGCGGCGGACGGGUGAGUAAUGCCUAGGAAUCUGCCUGGUAGUGGGGGAUAACGUCCGGAAACGGGCGCUAAUACCGCAUACGUCCUGAGGGAGAAAGUGGGGGAUCUUCGGACCUCACGCUAUCAGAUGAGCCUAGGUCGGAUUAGCUAGUUGGUGGGGUAAAGGCCUACCAAGGCGACGAUCCGUAACUGGUCUGAGAGGAUGAUCAGUCACACUGGAACUGAGACACGGUCCAGACUCCUACGGGAGGCAGCAGUGGGGAAUAUUGGACAAUGGGCGAAAGCCUGAUCCAGCCAUGCCGCGUGUGUGAAGAAGGUCUUCGGAUUGUAAAGCACUUUAAGUUGGGAGGAAGGGCAGUAAGUU
RNAcentral lists this ribosomal RNA (395 nucleotides) under Pseudomonas aeruginosa. RNAcentral describes it as "bacterial SSU rRNA". It matches the Rfam family "Bacterial small subunit ribosomal RNA", at positions 64 to 461 of the family's 1533-position model. Lineage: Bacteria; Pseudomonadati; Pseudomonadota; Gammaproteobacteria; Pseudomonadales; Pseudomonadaceae. The record is from RNAcentral.